This 337-nucleotide unclassified non-coding RNA is filed under the name soil metagenome. RNAcentral's name for it is "partial contains 5.8S ribosomal RNA, internal transcribed spacer 2, and large subunit ribosomal RNA". The stretch from base 1 to 120 matches the Rfam family "5.8S ribosomal RNA", at positions 35 to 154 of the family's 154-position model. The record is from RNAcentral.
GAUGAAGAACGCAGCGAAAUGCGAUAAGUAGUGUGAAUUGCAGAAUUCAGUGAAUCAUCGAAUCUUUGAACGCACAUUGCGCCCCUUGGUAUUCCAUGGGGCAUGCCUGUUCGAGCGUCAUUUGUACCUUCAAGCUCUGCUUGGUGUUGGGUGUUUGUCUCGCCUCUGCGUGUAGACUCGCCUCAAAACAAUUGGCAGCCGGCGUAUUGAUUUCGGAGCGCAGUACAUCUCGCGCUUUGCACUCAUAACGACGACGUCCAAAAGUACAUUUUUACACUCUUGACCUCGGAUCAGGUAGGGAUACUCGCUGAACUUAAGCAUAUCAAUAAGCGGAGGA